RNAcentral lists this ribosomal RNA (460 nucleotides) under uncultured bacterium. Its description in RNAcentral is "partial 16S ribosomal RNA". It matches the Rfam family "Bacterial small subunit ribosomal RNA", at positions 338 to 795 of the family's 1533-position model. The record is from RNAcentral.
CCUACGGGGGGCAGCAGUGAGGAAUAUUGGUCAAUGGGCGGAAGCCUGAACCAGCCAAGUCGCGUGCAGGAUGACGGCCCUACGGGUUGUAAACUGCUUUUAUACGGGAAUAACGCGCCUUACGUGUAGGGCUUUGCAUGUACCGCAUGAAUAAGGACCGGCCAAUUCCGUGCCAGCAGCCGCGGUAAUACGGAAGGUCCGGGCGUUAGCCGGAUUUAUUGGGUUUAAAGGGAGCGUAGGCCGCAUGUCAAGCGUGCUGUGAAAUGUCCGGGCUCAACCCGGGGCCUGCAGCGGGAACUGGAGUGCUUGAGUGCGCGGAAGGCAGGCGGAAUUCGUAGUGUAGCGGUGAAAUGCUUAGAUAUGACGAAGAACCCCGAUUGCGAAGGCAGCUUGCUGCAGCGGAACUGACGCUGAUGCUCGAAAGCGCGGGGAUCGAACAGGAUUAGAUACCCGAGUAGUC